Vanessa atalanta (red admiral) is the source of this 1878-nucleotide RNA transcript. It is a transcript of the gene named discs large homolog 1-like protein, with no coding region annotated. The record is from RefSeq and is a predicted model, not a curated record. The transcript is spliced from 11 exons. Lineage: Eukaryota; Metazoa; Arthropoda; Insecta; Lepidoptera; Nymphalidae.
UUAACUUUGUCACUGACAAAACAAACUUAAUAUGAUUUAGUUAAGUAUGACCCGUGUAUAAAUUUUAAACGUUUUAUAUAUGUGCGAGUGUCAGUGAAAUGUGAUGGUGGUGGUGUACACAGUAUGAGCACGUGGAUGGCGCUGUUCGGGCUAGUGUGGCUGCUGCGAGUACGCGGAUCUUUAUGCGGAUGCACAGCAUGCAAGCGUGCUCGACUGGAAACACAAGACAUCCAAUAUAGAAGACCGUCGAGAGUUUCGAGCACGCCAUGUCCUGACGAAGAGGCAUCGGGCACACAGCGUGUGCCCAGUCCCAACGAGCGAGCGACUUUUGACGUUAUCGCACUACAGAGGUUCACGAGAGAUGUCACUGUACAGACUGAUUUCGAUGAUGAUGAAAUAGAGGACUUAGACAAAAUUGAGCUGCAAAUUAAGGAAGAAUCGAACGUUAGCAACUACGAAAGCGGGCGUGAACAAUCGACGCUGAGUCCGGAAGCCAGUGAAAAGGUCGUAGGAAGCUUUCAGUAUUUAAUGCAUCAUAGUACAUCUAAUCCCGACGAUGUUUGGGAAACGACGGAUGUGACACUUGAACGGGGUAUUAGUGGCCUAGGGCUGAGUAUAGCGGGUAGUGAGAGCGGCGGUGACGUCAGCAUUACUCGAAUAGCACCAAAUGGCGCAGCCAAGAACGACGGCCGUCUGCAAACCGGCGACAUCUUGCUGCAGGUAAACGACAUCUCCGUAGAAGGUGCUCCACACUCUGUUGCAGUUGAUGCAUUACAAAAGGCUGGAAAUGUUGUGAGAUUAAGAGUUAGAAGAGCUCGUAGAGCAAUGGUUGUAACACUUUGUCGUGGAAUACGGGGAUUAGGAUUAGGUAUCGCCGGUGGAGCGGACGAUGCUGCAGGAGGUGAAGGCAUUUUCAUAUCUCAUAUUGCUGUUGGAGGUGCCGCCCACCAUGACGGUAGAUUAAAGCUAGGAGAUAAAAUUUUAGCCGUCAAAGAUGAAAAUGGAAUUGAAACGUCGUUGAUAGGAGUUACUCAUGCGAUGGCCGUCUCAGCGUUGCGUAGUACAGGAGAUCACGUCACAUUAGUGGUUCUGCCAGCCGCUGGGUCUAUUCCGCCCGUUGCUCGGACCGCACCAUUGUAUUCUACAAGAACCCAAGCCACAUCCUGCUCCACCCUUCAUGAUCUAUCCGAAGAGGAGCUCAAUAAAAUACCCAGAUGUGUGCGCAUGGUGCGACUGGUACGUACGGGUUCCCGAUUGGGAAUGGAUAUAGUUGGGGGCUUAGGAGGUGAAGUCGAUGGUAGCAUUGGUCCGGAAGACGAUACCUGCGGCGUAUUUGUAUCCGGCGUGUCAACCGAAGGAGCGGCUUAUGGAUUGCUUCACAGGGGUGAUAGAAUACUGAGUGUUGAUGGACGAGAUCUAACACGUGCGACUCACGAGCAGGCGGCAGCUGCAUUAAAGUAUUCAGGCAGCGCUGUCACCAUAGCCGCACAAUAUCAACCGGAGCACUACGAAAGGCUGCGCGCGCGCAUACGGGCAAUCAACGCGGCAGCUUUGUCCCCACACGCACACUCACGUAUAGCCACUCAUAUACCAGUUCAUCCUGAUGUCCACGCUAGCUAUCCAAGGUAGCAGUGACACAAUUGUGAAAUAGAAUAUUCUUAAACAUAAGACCGUAGAUAGUGGACAUACAUUGUGGAUUUAUAUAAUCAAAAUACCAGUGGCCGUAACAUGCCCAAGGGAUUAUUGUAAGAUAUUUUAAAAGGGAUUUUCUUUUUCAUCAUCGUAUUCAAUUGAUAUCUGAUGUGCUAAAUAAAACGAAUCAUAUGUUUAAUUUUAUACUAAAACUAUUUUUGUUGUAUCAGAUGAGUUCAGCUAUAA